UACGUAGGAUGCAAGCGUUGUUCGGAAUUACUGGGCGUAAAGAGUACGUAGGCGGUUUGAAAAGUCUGCUAUUAAAGACUGGGGCUUAACUUCAGGAGUGUAGUGGAAACUUUCAGACUAGAGGACAAUAGAGGAAGUCGGAAUUCUCAGUGUAGCGGUGAAAUGCGUAGAUAUCGCUUGGAACGCCAAAGGUGAAAACAGGUUGCUGGGGUUGUGCCGACGCUGAGACACGAAAGCCAGGGGAGCAAACAGG
Molecule: ribosomal RNA, 253 nt
Filed under: uncultured bacterium
Lineage: Bacteria
Description: partial 16S ribosomal RNA
Rfam family: Bacterial small subunit ribosomal RNA
Source: RNAcentral